Molecule: regulatory RNA element, 110 nt
Organism: Cloacibacterium normanense
Lineage: Bacteria; Pseudomonadati; Bacteroidota; Flavobacteriia; Flavobacteriales; Weeksellaceae
Rfam family: SAM riboswitch aptamer (S box leader)
About the family: The SAM riboswitch is found upstream of a number of genes which code for proteins involved in methionine or cysteine biosynthesis in Gram-positive bacteria. The SAM riboswitch acts at the level of transcription termination control. The predicted structure consists of a complex stem-loop region followed by a single stem loop terminator region.
Source: Rfam
AACUUAUUAAGAAAGGUGGAGGGAAUUGACCCUGCGAAACCUUGGCAACCUGCUAACAGAAAUGAGAGUAAGGUGCCAAAUUCAACCCCGAAGUUCGGGAAAGAUAAGUC